GCAUCUUUCACUGGAAUAUUAGAUUAUUUUCCUGUGACUCUGCAACAAAAUCCAAGACUUGAUUCUAUCUUGGUGCCAAGCCAACAGGUUCCCUUUCAGAAAAUGAAGCUUUCAGUUUGUGUGUUUGAAGUGGCCUUCAAACUGCUGCAUGAAAAGCAAAUAAAGAGAAAAUGUGUACUACAAAGCAGUAUUGUGGAUUUUAGUCCUGUAAUCUUGUUGUACUCCAAAGCAACUCAUAGCCAUCAAAUCCGACUUCUUCGAAUAGAAAUACUGGGUGAUGUCUGAUGGAUGAUAUGGCAUAGCUGAAACAAGCUCGGAUUUGUGAGGUUAAUUAAGGCCAAUCUUGAAUUGAUUUUUCAAGGCAGUUCAAGCUCAUGUUCAAGCAGGAAGAUCUCUUUGCCUUCAGGUUGCUUCAAUUUGAACGAAGUAGUCAUUUUACAAACUUUUGUGUGUCAAGUAGAGCAUAUGUAGACGUUCUCUGAAAUGCUCUUGUUCCAGGUUGGUGAAAUUGAUCAACAGAUGGUUCUUGAAAGAACAGAUGGCUAGGCUAGAUCUAUGUUGUGCCAAACUAUUGUACGAUGUAAAUUCUUGAUAUUAAAAUCAAUUGCAGACUGCUAUGUGACGAAGUCUAGUUAUAAAUAUGGGAUCCCGGCGGUUUGAUAUAACAAACUAUGUGUAUGCACAACACGUGCGGAACUCGCGUCUUUUGGAGCAGUAUAGGCUCUAGGAAAUUUAAGUUUUGUAUUUUUGUUCUAAUCUUAGCCUAUUUACUAUGUUCUUUCAUAGUGUAUCUGCUCGCUUUAAAUAA
Molecule: long non-coding RNA, 808 nt
Organism: Rosa chinensis
Lineage: Eukaryota; Viridiplantae; Streptophyta; Magnoliopsida; Rosales; Rosaceae
Exons: 2
Source: RefSeq, a predicted model, not a curated record